CAAUAUGAAGGUCAGGCUGAAGACCUUACCCGAUUAGCUGAGAGGUGGUGCAUGGCCGUCGUCAGUUCGUACUGUGAAGCAUCCUGUUAAGUCAGGCAACGAGCGAGACCCACGUCCACAGUUGCCAGCAUACCCUCCGGGGUGAUGGGUACACUGUGGAGACCGCCGCUGCUAAAGCGGAGGAAGGAGUGGGCAACGGUAGGUCAGUAUGCCCCGAAUCUCCCGGGCUACACGCAGGCUACAAUGGUUGGUACAAUGGGCAUCUACCCCGAAAGGGGAAGGAAAUCUCUUAAAGCCAAUCGUAGUUCGGAUUGAGGGCUGCAACUCGCCCUCAUGAAGCUGGAAUCCGUAGUAAUCGCGUUUCAACAGAACGCGGUGAAUACGUCCCUGCUCCUU
RNAcentral lists this ribosomal RNA (396 nucleotides) under uncultured Methanosaeta sp. RNAcentral's name for it is "bacterial SSU rRNA". It matches the Rfam family "Archaeal small subunit ribosomal RNA", at positions 943 to 1338 of the family's 1478-position model. Lineage: Archaea; Methanobacteriati; Methanobacteriota; Methanomicrobia; Methanotrichales; Methanotrichaceae. The record is from RNAcentral.